Molecule: transfer RNA, 77 nt
Filed under: Desulfofundulus thermobenzoicus
Lineage: Bacteria; Bacillati; Bacillota; Clostridia; Eubacteriales; Peptococcaceae
Also listed under: 4 other names
Description: tRNA-His
Rfam family: tRNA
About the family: Transfer RNA (tRNA) molecules are approximately 80 nucleotides in length.
Source: RNAcentral
GUGGAUGUAGCUCAGUUGGUUAGAGCACCAGAUUGUGGCUCUGGGGGUCGUGGGUUCGAGUCCCAUCUUCCACCCCA